RNAcentral lists this ribosomal RNA (292 nucleotides) under uncultured Acidobacteriota bacterium. RNAcentral describes it as "uncultured Acidobacteria bacterium partial 16S ribosomal RNA". The record is from RNAcentral. Lineage: Bacteria; Pseudomonadati; Acidobacteriota.
GGACUACCCGGGUAUCUAAUCCUGUUUGCUCCCCUAGCUUUCGUCCCUCAGCGUCAGUUGCGAUCCAGCGAGCCGCUUUCGCCUCGGAUGUUCCUGCGGAUAUCUACGCAUUUCACCGCUACACCCGCAAUUCCACUCGCCUCUCUCGCACUCCAGCAUAGCAGUUUCGGCAGCGGCCUCUCAGUUAAGCCGAGAGAUUUCACUACCGACUUGCCACACCGCCUACGGACCCUUUACGCCCAGUAAUUCCGAGCAACGCUGGCCCCCUACGUUUUACCGCGGCUGCUGGCAC